AAGCCUGAACUCGAGUAGGGCCCAAGCCAGCCAGGAAGGAGGAGGCAGCCAGAGUGGCCACCACUGCUCUCUGCAGCAGAAGACCCCUUGCUGCCAGCUCACAGGGACAAGAAAAUGGAUUCUGAAUCUCUUUGUGCCAGCCACUCUGCAUGCAUACCUUAAACAUAAGAAAAGACCUGCUGGAUCAGGCCGAAGAAGGCCCAUCUAGUCCAGCAUCCUAAUGGCUAAGAUUGCCUUUGGUUGGCUUGCCAUUUCUAUGGACACACAAGCCCUGCUGCUGCACAACCAUCUGCACAAACCUACCCUAGCGAUGCUGUACACAUUUGUUUGACACAUGGAAACAUUAUCUACCGAGGGAAAGCAAAGACAAGUCCAAUGUGAUUGCCCAACCUUUCAUCACAAGAUCCUCUCAGAUAUCACAUCAAGAGUUAUUGAGUUAUUUUUUUUAAUUGUAUUUAUUUUUCUAUGUAAACUGCUUUGAGAAUUUUGUUGAAGAGAAGUAUAUAAAUAUUUGUCAUAAUCAUAGCUUACCUGCAUACAAUCAUUUUGAAGGUCUUCAUAGACUCUACAUGUAUGUGACUGUGUGUAUGCAGGAUUCUCCCUAUGCAGUUGGGAACUCCGUGGGCCUGAUCAUGUUGAGCACCCGAUGUGCAGAGUUGUAUGUGUGGAGGGUUUAAGCAGAUUUUCAAAAUCAAAGUAUGUUGGGGUAGAGACCACUGCUUGAAUUUCAAUCCCCUUCACACAAGCAUGCACUGAUAGGGUCCAGGCUACAUUCUUUUAGGAAGCUAAAUGCCCAAAGCCAAAUUAGAGUGAAAUUAAUAGUAACCUUUGUUGCUCUCAAGUCAGAUAAAUUGAAAGAGGUAGGAAAACAAGGUGUAUGUAACCAAAUUGUCAAGAUGAGAAGAACUAAGGAAAACAGCCUGUUCAGAUGUUAUUUGCCCAAUACCCCAGAAUUGUCCUUUGGGAGAAAUCCCCUCUCCUGGACACUUCUUGAGGAGAGAAGCAAAUGUCUGAGGUGGGAAAUAAGUCCCAGAACCAGAGGAGACCUUGUGUUCGAGAUCCAUGAAUUUCCUGCUUCGGUGGUUCAUUUCUUUCCACGACAGGAGUAGCACAUAAGUCUGAGGUGUGCAUGGACACAUGUGCGUGCACACACAGGAUAAUUGUGAAGGUGAAUCAUGUCCAGCUAAACCUUAAGUUUAACAAAAGUUCUCUUGCAGAAGGCUUCUAGCACACUCCCCAUCAUUUCCACCACCCCUGCGCAUAGAUCUUUCUGGAGUGAUGCACUUUCAUAAUUGUGAACCUCCUACCUUUAUCCUGUGGAUUUGAUUUUAACAAGGCUUUCUUUUUUAAAAAAAAAAAAAAGGCUCUAGGGUGAAUUUUGUAUAUUUUUAUUUUGGUACUUGUUAUGCCAGUGUUUCCUCCUGUUGAAUUACAACCCUUUCAACAAUAAAUAAAAAUAAAAUUUUUAAAAAGAAGGCCAUAUCUGGUGGAAUGCAAAGACAUGAUGUACUUGUUUUAAAUCUGGAGACUUACCACUAUGGAAGACAUUAUCAGGGGGCUUUCUAAUAUCAGACAAGAUCACGUUGUUUCUUCCAAAGCGUUUUCUAAGAAAGAGGGCAAAAUUAGUUUCAGGGUAGUUCUUUUACAUUCGUUUUAAAUAGAAUGCCUUGUGCAAACCACCCCAAAGCGACUCAGUUUUGCUAUGAGAUUCUACUUUUUAGCCCAAGUUCCUAGGGUUCCAAAAAAUGAAUAUUCCCACACCCUUCUCAAUCAGAAGAAUUAAUGCCCAUGGCCCACCCAGCUAUCAGUCUACAUACAUGCACCGAUGCCCAAUGAAUGUGAAACUAGGGAUGUUUGACUUCUGCCUUGAACAAAUCUUGACCUGGUAUUCUUUUCAAUAUAAAAAACUUCUUGUGGUAAGACAGAACUACAACUUACCUCAAGAGCUUAGCAAGUCCUACUCCAAGUUGGCCUA
Hemicordylus capensis (graceful crag lizard) is the source of this 1975-nucleotide long non-coding RNA. RefSeq lists it as uncharacterized. The record is from RefSeq and is a predicted model, not a curated record. NCBI's taxonomy places the organism in Eukaryota, Metazoa, Chordata, Lepidosauria, Squamata, Cordylidae. The transcript is spliced from 3 exons.